Long non-coding RNA from Gorilla gorilla gorilla (western lowland gorilla), 2551 nucleotides. RefSeq lists it as uncharacterized. The transcript has 2 exons. NCBI's taxonomy places the organism in Eukaryota, Metazoa, Chordata, Mammalia, Primates, Hominidae. The record is from RefSeq and is a predicted model, not a curated record.
UUGUGCCUGGAUUCCCCUUUGCAAGCAUUCUGGAGUCACAACAUCGGCAUAGAAGGUGGCCAGCCUUUGGUUUUUGCAGUCGUUUGUGGAGUCUUUAUGGAAGAGCAGCGUGGUCAAGAGACCACGGCUGCGUAACCCCGUCUGCAGUGUGUGAGGCCGGAGUGCUGACCCUGGACCUGCCCAGUCAUGCCUUCUCGGUCAGCUGUUCAUCUCAUCUGCUACCACGGGAAAAGAAAUGCCCUGAAGACUGCUGGCCGUGUGUUCAGUGAUUCUCACAGAGCACAGAAAAUGAAACAUCAGAGAAACUGCCCUUAGGCGGGGCUGGCAAAUAUCUCCCCUACUGGGCGCAGGGCAGACUUCACCUCAAGGUCUUCCUCCACACACAUUCCACAGCCCAGCCAGUCCUCCAGGGCGGAACUCAAGAUAAAUCUAUUCACCAUCUCUGUUCUCUUGGGAGUGGGGGAGGAUACGAAGCUGAGGUCUAGCAUCCGGGCCAGGGCUUUCUCGGCCACGGCUCCUGGCCUGGGUGAGGGUGGGAGGGAGCAAUGUGAUGAUCAACACUCCAGUUUCUUGUCCAAGGCUGCCUGUGGCCGAUGUGCUGCCUAUCUGGGGAGAAAAGGGAAACACGUAGGCUUGUCUCGGGUGUUCCUAGAGGAUUUGGGAUGGCCACCCAUGGCUGAAAACUAACUUGGUUCACUAGAGUGUGUGACAUCGGGACCUGAGACCCAACUUACCAAGUGCUAUCUACGUGACUUUACCCCUCAGUGUAUUCAUCUAUGAAAUGGGGAUAAUACUAGCACUGGAGGAUAAAUAAAUCGAUCAACAUGUGUAAAGUGCUUAGAAGGUGCCUGCCAUGCAGGAAGCAAACACUGGGCACUAGCUAUCGCUAUCAUUUCUGCUGUCCUCAAUGAGUGCAACUAGUUGCUGGGCUGGGGUAGCUGAAAGUGACCGGUAGUAGAGGGGGUGAGAACAGAUAAAAGGCCACGACGCAGAGAAGCCAGAGGACAUGCAGGUUGAACUCCAACAGGAGCAGUGGCUGUAGGGGAGAGGCUUGACCCUGGAGCUGGUCAUGAUGUGCAAGUGGGAUGGGCUGGGGGCUCCCGUGUGAGAGCACAGGAGGAGAGGCUGUGUUUCCCAAGCCUGCAAAGGGCUAGAGUAAAAAGUGACCUAGGUAUGCCCAACAAGGCCUGGCGACUUGGCGUUCUCCACAUAUGCAAUUCUCCUAUCAAAGCAGGUUCCCAAACCCUGGUUUCUUCCUGCCUCUCAGCCUAACAUUAUCAUUGCUCCUUCAUCCAUCAGAGAGCCUGGAGUCUCAUCUUUCAGUGACUUAUCAAGGCUAGACUAUUCCUCAGAAUCUCCACUGUGAAUCAGACUACUGUUAAGAUAAACGCUAAUGCUUAAGUCCAAAAUCUUGGACUCAAAGAAGGAGUCAACAUGGUAAGAGGCCCUUCUGAUGCAUCAUCCCAGAAACUUCGUCUGACACCCUCCACCACGGGUCCUCCACACUGGAGGGGAUGCCUGGACAAUUGUGCACACAGAAACAACAUUUGUUCUCACUGGUUUGCUCUGCAGUCCCAGAAGCCCACCAAACGGAGUGGGAAAAAAAGACAUCUUGGGGCAAAAGACAAAAGUGCGAUUCGAUACACUGAUCUCAUGUAAGCAUAGUUCUAAUUAGCUAAAUCGUUCCUUCAGCAAUAGUAAAGAGAGACUGCAACAGAUCUGAUACUCCAAUAGGCUUUGUCCAAUCUGGCAGAGUGGAUUCUUUAUCUGAAAUCAUCCACAACAACCACUUUCAGAACGGGGCCAAUUUUCAGACCUAAAUUACCUCUGGCUCCACAGUAGCAUCUGCCCAUGAAAUCAGUUUCUACCAAAAGCUUAAACUCUCCAGCAGCAAUUAUCUGGAACAGCCUCAAAACUGCAUUUUUGCCAUUUGAGACUGUUUUCCACAAUUGCCAGCCAUCUUGCCUGUUAGCAUGCCUGUGGGAAGGACGGGCUGGCAGUAUGGCGUUGAUUCCCUAUUUGAAGUUGUUGUCCUUGAAUCCUUUAUGACCAUCAGACAUAACACCCAGUGAAAAUGACGCCACCUGCAUUUAGAAUUAUUCAAAACCUGCCACCUCACAGAGGAAAAUUCAGCCCACCCUCAGGGAUGCAGGUCUUGACUCUGUUCUGGCUGAACUGUUAACAAUUCUCCUUUGCAAACUCCCAGAAGGAGACUUGAUGAUCUCUCCCACAUAGCACUUAAUGGGGAAGCAAAAACGAUUUUCAACUGAGGGAAUGUUUUUGCAAAGUGGAAAUCAAAUCCAUUUGUUAAUCUUCAAAAACUCUGGGCUGUGCAGAUUCUCAGGAAGACACUAAGCAUAUGGAUCACAACAGCGAUGGACCCUCAGCAAAUGGAGCCUGACAACUCCAGAACCAAGCACUUGCCUGGGGGAACUCCUCCCAGCAAACACUUCUCAAAUGGCAAAUCUGGGUCCUGUUAGCUAUGCUGGCUGUGAUCUACUGGUGAAUGAAUGCCUAUCACCAAUAGUUAUUACAACAUCAGCCUUCUCUA